RNAcentral lists this ribosomal RNA (557 nucleotides) under Citrobacter sp. CK189. Its description in RNAcentral is "partial 23S ribosomal RNA". It matches the Rfam family "Bacterial large subunit ribosomal RNA", at positions 657 to 1212 of the family's 2925-position model. The record is from RNAcentral. Lineage: Bacteria; Pseudomonadati; Pseudomonadota; Gammaproteobacteria; Enterobacterales; Enterobacteriaceae. RNAcentral also lists the same sequence under 2 other names.
AUAGGGGAGCCGAAGGGAAACCGAGUCUUAACUGGGCGUUAAGUUGCAGGGUAUAGACCCGAAACCCGGUGAUCUAGCCAUGGGCAGGUUGAAGGUUGGGUAACACUAACUGGAGGACCGAACCGACUAAUGUUGAAAAAUUAGCGGAUGACCUGUGGCUGGGGGUGAAAGGCCAAUCAAACCGGGAGAUAGCUGGUUCUCCCCGAAAGCUAUUUAGGUAGCGCCUCGUGAAUUCAUCUCCGGGGGUAGAGCACUGUUUCGGCUAGGGGGCCAUCCCGGCUUACCAACCCGAUGCAAACUGCGAAUACCGGAGAAUGUUAUCACGGGAGACACACGGCGGGUGCUAACGUCCGUCGUGAAGAGGGAAACAACCCAGACCGCCAGCUAAGGUCCCAAAGUCAUGGUUAAGUGGGAAACGAUGUGGGAAGGCCCAGACAGCCAGGAUGUUGGCUUAGAAGCAGCCAUCAUUUAAAGAAAGCGUAAUAGCUCACUGGUCGAGUCGGCCUGCGCGGAAGAUGUAACGGGGCUAAACCAUGCACCGAAGCUGCGGCAGCGAC